Molecule: long non-coding RNA, 1183 nt
Filed under: Medicago truncatula (barrel medic)
Lineage: Eukaryota; Viridiplantae; Streptophyta; Magnoliopsida; Fabales; Fabaceae
Description: lncRNA gene2981
Source: RNAcentral
UUUGUGAUAGUAAAACGCAAAAUAUAUAUAUAUUUUUGGACAUUUUUAAAGUUUGUUAGAACCAUGUCGAUUCAAAAAAAGAUAUUCCCAUUGAUGACAGGUUAUCUUACGUAAUUCUUAGCAUGUUUUUCAGUCAUUUUUAGUAGGUUUACCAGCAAAGAAGAGGAGAAUUAGAUCAAUUGCCUAUGAUUUCAGGAAAUUUGUAAUGUUUUCUUUAUUCGAGUCGGUAAUUACAUUCUUCCCGAAACAUACCAAUUCUAGGAUGUGUUUUUGAUGUAAUUCACGAAGAAAUCAUGCAAAUUGGCAAAGCAAGAACAUCCGAAGAUUAGUGAAGACCUUCAGAAGAUCAAGAAUGAAGAUUCAAGAAACCUCAAUAGAAUUUACAGAGGGAGGAAUUUUGUUCCUAGGUCUCAAGACAUCUUAUAUGGAAGCAAACACACAAAAUGACAGAAAAAUUGAAAAUUAGAGCCUAAAAAGCACACUCAUGCGCCUAGGGCAUAAGCAAUUCGCCUAGGGCAUGGUUUGUGCUACACUCACAUGCACCUAGGGUAUCGAGUGUGCGCACCAUGCACUCAAAAAGUGCGGGGCCAAAAUGAAUAUAUGUUGCAUUCGUCAUUCACAAUUUCUCGUUCAGAACUAGAGCAAUUCCAGAGGAAGGCGAUUCUAAGAGCUUCAUGAGAAACAUAAGAGGUAGAGAGAAAGUGGAUCAAGAGGAUAAAAGAGGAAGCUAGAGAGAGAGUUUGGGGUUGAAGAGCUAGGAGCUAAAGUGAAGUCAAAGUUAGGAUUCUUGAAGACUAGAGAAUAAGCAGCGGAAAUAAUUCGAUUUUCUUUCCUUGGAUCAUUACGAAUUACACAUGAAUCAGUGAUUCGAUUGUUACCUCGAAGUGUGAAACUGAAAACUGAAAGCUGGAACUGGAAACUGGAAUCACGAUCACAGCAAAGCCUCUAGCAAGUCCACACGAACAGUGCUCCUCCAAAACUCGGUGCUAGCCAAGGAAUCAGAAGUCUCAGAGAGCUAGGGUUUCUUCAAAACGCGUAACCUCAAACUUUAGCGUUAUAGAACUCCUUGUGUGCUAUGCAAGUCAGAAGUCACUAUUGGACUUCACUAAGCCCAAUAACGAGUUUAGUAAUUUUGCUAACUAAUUAGCGUUAUUUACUAAACGCACCCCUUAUAUAAGUCGUA